RNAcentral lists this ribosomal RNA (443 nucleotides) under Salmonella enterica. Its description in RNAcentral is "bacterial SSU rRNA". It matches the Rfam family "Bacterial small subunit ribosomal RNA", at positions 1 to 440 of the family's 1533-position model. The record is from RNAcentral. Lineage: Bacteria; Pseudomonadati; Pseudomonadota; Gammaproteobacteria; Enterobacterales; Enterobacteriaceae. RNAcentral also lists the same sequence under 1 other name.
AAAUUGAAGAGUUUGAUCAUGGCUCAGAUUGAACGCUGGCGGCAGGCCUAACACAUGCAAGUCGAACGGUAACAGGAAGCAGCUUGCUGUUUCGCUGACGAGUGGCGGACGGGUGAGUAAUGUCUGGGAAACUGCCUGAUGGAGGGGGAUAACUACUGGAAACGGUGGCUAAUACCGCAUAACGUCGCAAGACCAAAGAGGGGGACCUUCGGGCCUCUUGCCAUCAGAUGUGCCCAGAUGGGAUUAGCUAGUUGGUGAGGUAACGGCUCACCAAGGCGACGAUCCCUAGCUGGUCUGAGAGGAUGACCAGCCACACUGGAACUGAGACACGGUCCAGACUCCUACGGGAGGCAGCAGUGGGGAAUAUUGCACAAUGGGCGCAAGCCUGAUGCAGCCAUGCCGCGUGUAUGAAGAAGGCCUUCGGGUUGUAAAGUACUUUCAGC